CCUACGGGAGGCUGCAGUGAGGAAUAUUGGUCAAUGGGCGCGAGCCUGAACCAGCCAAGUCGCGUGAGUGCAGACGGUCCUAUGGAUUGUAAACCUCUUUUGUCGGGGAGCAAAAGACGCCACGCGUGGCGUUCCGAGAGUACCCGAAGAAAAAGCAUAGGCUAACUCCGUGCCAGCAGCCUCGGUAAUACGGAGGAUCCGAGCGUUAUCCGGAUGUAUUGGGUUUAAAGGGAGCGUAGAUGGGUUGUUAAGUCAGUUGUGAAAGUUUGCGGCUCAACCGUAAAAUUGCAAUUGAUAGUGGCAGGCUUGAGUACAGUUGAGGUAGGCGGAAUUCGUGGUGUAGCGGUGAAAUGCUUAGAUAUCACGAAGAACACCGAUUGCGAAGGCAGCUUACUAAACUGUGACUGACAGUGAUGCUCGAAAGUGUGGGUAUCAAACAGGAUUAGAUACCCUAGUAGUC
Molecule: ribosomal RNA, 460 nt
Filed under: uncultured bacterium
Lineage: Bacteria
Description: partial 16S ribosomal RNA
Rfam family: Bacterial small subunit ribosomal RNA
Source: RNAcentral